This 492-nucleotide ribosomal RNA is filed under the name uncultured bacterium. Its description in RNAcentral is "partial 16S ribosomal RNA". It matches the Rfam family "Bacterial small subunit ribosomal RNA", at positions 28 to 507 of the family's 1533-position model. The record is from RNAcentral.
GAUGAACGCUAGCUACAGGCUUAACACAUGCAAGUCGAGGGGAAACGACAUCGAAAGCUUGCUUUUGAUGGGCGUCGACCGGCGCACGGGUGAGUAACGCGUAUCCAACCUGCUCAUCACUUGGGAAUAACCUUGCGAAAGUAAGACUAAUACCCAAUGAUAUCCCACGAAGGCAUCGGAAUGGGAUUAAAGAUUUAUCGGUGAUGGAUGGGGCUGCGUCUGAUUAGCUUGUUGGCGGGGUAACGGCCCACCAAGGCAACGAUCAGUAGGGGUUCUGAGAGGAAGGUCCCCCACAUUGGAACUGAGACACGGUCCAAACUCCUACGGGAGGCAGCAGUGAGGAAUAUUGGUCAAUGGGCGAGAGCCUGAACCAGCCAAGUAGCGUGCAGGAAGACGGCCCUAUGGGUUGUAAACUGCUUUUAUAAGGGAAUAAAGUGGGUCACGUGUGACUUUUUGCAUGUACCUUAUGAAUAAGGACCGGCUAAUUCCGUG